Molecule: ribosomal RNA, 301 nt
Filed under: uncultured bacterium
Lineage: Bacteria
Description: partial 16S ribosomal RNA
Rfam family: Bacterial small subunit ribosomal RNA
Source: RNAcentral
CAGCCGCCACGGUAAGACGGAGGGUGCUAGCGUUGUUCGGAAUCACUGGGCGUAAAGGGCGCGUAGGCGGCCUGUUAAGUCGGAUGUGAAAGCCCGGGGCUCAACCCCGGAACUGCAUCCGAGACUGGCAGGCUUGAGACCGGGAGAGGAGGGUGGAAUAUCCAGUGUAGAGGUGAAAUUCGUAGAUAUUGGAUGGAACACCGGUGGCGAAAGCGGCUCUCUGGCCCGGAUCUGACGCUGAGGCGCGAAAGCGUGGGGAGCAAACAGGAUUAGAUACCCCAGUAGUCCCUGUCUCUUAUAC